CAGUCGCCGCGGGAAUACAGAGGGUGCAAGCGUUAAUCGGAAUUACUGGGCGUAAAGCGCGCUUAGGUGGUUUGUUAAGUUGGAUGUGAAAUCCCCGGGCUCAACCUGAGAACUGCAUCCAAAACUGGCAAGCUAGAGUAUGGUAGAGGGUGGUGGAAUUUCCUGUGUAGCGGUGAAAUGCGUAGAUAUAGGAAGGAACACCAGUGGCGAAGGCGACCACCUGGACUGAUACUGACACUGAGGUGCGAAAGCGUGGGGAGCAAACAGGAUUAGAUACCCCUGUAGUCCCUGUCUCUUAUAC
This 301-nucleotide ribosomal RNA is filed under the name uncultured bacterium. Its description in RNAcentral is "partial 16S ribosomal RNA". It matches the Rfam family "Bacterial small subunit ribosomal RNA", at positions 509 to 807 of the family's 1533-position model. The record is from RNAcentral.